AAACGACUCUCGGCAACGGAUAUCUCGGCUCACGCAUCGAUGAAGAACGUAGCAAAAUGCGAUACUUGGUGUGAAUUGCAGAAUCCCGUGAACCAUCGAGUUUUUGAACGCAAGUUGCGCCCGAAGCCUUUCGGUUGAGGGCACGUCUGCCUGGGCGUCACGC
Molecule: ribosomal RNA, 163 nt
Filed under: Verbesina aristata
Lineage: Eukaryota; Viridiplantae; Streptophyta; Magnoliopsida; Asterales; Asteraceae
Also listed under: 1 other name
Description: 5.8S ribosomal RNA
Rfam family: 5.8S ribosomal RNA
About the family: 5.8S ribosomal RNA (5.8S rRNA) is a component of the large subunit of the eukaryotic ribosome. It is transcribed by RNA polymerase I as part of the 45S precursor that also contains 18S and 28S rRNA.
Source: RNAcentral